This is a long non-coding RNA of Betta splendens (Siamese fighting fish), 514 nucleotides long. RefSeq lists it as uncharacterized. NCBI's taxonomy places the organism in Eukaryota, Metazoa, Chordata, Actinopteri, Anabantiformes, Osphronemidae. The record is from RefSeq and is a predicted model, not a curated record. The transcript has 3 exons.
CAGAAAACCACGGUCUCCGACGUGACGGGAUCGGGCUUCUUCGGAGGAUCUGUGGGCAAGAGCUGGGAGGAAACACUGGCAUUAAAACAUCUGGGAGAAGCUGAGGACGCGUGACCUUCAUAUCGAGGCACCAGUCAGUCGCGCCCGCUGUUUACUUUAGUUUCUGGAUGCAGUCAAUGGUCGGCAGGAAGCAUUGGUCCAGAACGAGGGAAUACCUCUGAGGAGAACGAUGGAGAAAGGAGUCAUUCAAACCUGGAAUGACAAAUAGCUGCAGCUCUACGUUUGCCAUCCCACUCCUCCCGCUGCCUCUGUUCUGCCUCCAAACACCCCUGGUUAAUGUCUUUCACUAUUUUUAUUUAAUGUUUCAUUUAAACAUGAAAGCUAUUUGGUUACAUUAUAGAUGCACUAAUGAAGCUUUAAAUGACUACAGACAUGCAAAUAUACAAAUGUAAUAUUUUAUUGUUUAUUUUACUCCUAAUUAUGUUUGGAUUAAAAAUACACUUUUCUUUGAUUU